UACGGGGGGGGCAAGCGUUGUUCGGAAUUACUGGGCGUAAAGGGCUCGUAGGUGGCCAAUUAAGUCAGACGUGAAAUCCCUCGGCUUAACCGGGGAACUGCGUCUGAUACUGGAUGGCUUGAGUUUGGGAGAGGGACGCGGAAUUCCAGGUGUAGCGGUGAAAUGCGUAGAUAUCUGGAGGAACACCGGUGGCGAAGGCGGCGUCCUGGACCAACACUGACACUGAGGAGCGAAAGCCAGGGGAGCAAACGGG
Molecule: ribosomal RNA, 253 nt
Filed under: uncultured bacterium
Lineage: Bacteria
Description: partial 16S ribosomal RNA
Rfam family: Bacterial small subunit ribosomal RNA
Source: RNAcentral